GGGGCCUUAGCUCAGUUGGUAGAGCGCUGCCUUUGCAAGGCAGAUGUCAGGGGUUCGAAUCCCCUAGGCUCCACAA
Molecule: transfer RNA, 76 nt
Filed under: Mycolicibacterium hodleri
Lineage: Bacteria; Bacillati; Actinomycetota; Actinomycetes; Mycobacteriales; Mycobacteriaceae
Description: tRNA-Ala
Rfam family: tRNA
About the family: Transfer RNA (tRNA) molecules are approximately 80 nucleotides in length.
Source: RNAcentral